CCUACGGGAGGCAGCAGUGAGGAAUAUUGGUCAAUGGGCGCGAGCCUGAACCAGCCAAGUAGCGUGAAGGAUGACUGCCCUACGGGUUGUAAACUUCUUUUAUAAAGGAAUAAAGUGAGGCACGUGUGCCUUUUUGUAUGUACUUUAUGAAUAAGGAUCGGCUAACUCCGUGCCAGCAGCCGCGGUAAUACGGAGGAUCCGAACGUUAGCCGAAUUUAUUGGGUUUAAAGGGAGCGUAGAUGGGUUGUUAAGUCAGUUGUGAAAGGUUGCGGCUCAACCGUAAAAUUGCAAUUGAUACUGGCAGUCUUGAGUACAGUUGAGGUAGGCGGAAUUCGUGGUGUAGCGGUGAAAUGCUUAGAUAUCACGAAGAACCCCGAGUGCGAAGGCAGCUUACUAAACUGUGACUGACAUUGAUGCUCGAAAGUGUGGGUAUCAAACAGGAUUAGAUACCCUGGUAGUC
RNAcentral lists this ribosomal RNA (460 nucleotides) under uncultured bacterium. Its description in RNAcentral is "partial 16S ribosomal RNA". It matches the Rfam family "Bacterial small subunit ribosomal RNA", at positions 338 to 795 of the family's 1533-position model. The record is from RNAcentral.